UACGUAGGGGGCAAGCGUUGUCCGGAAUCAUUGGGCGUAAAGAGCGCGUAGGCGGCCCUGUAAGUCCGCUGUGAAAGUCAAGGGCUCAACCCUUGAAUGCCGGUGGAUACUGCAGGGCUAGAGUCCGGAAGAGGCGAGUGGAAUUCCUGGUGUAGCGGUGGAAUGCGUAGAGAUCCGGAAGAACACCGGAGGCGAAGGCGGCUUGCUGGGCUUGGUCUGACGCUGAGGCGCGAAAGCGUGGGGAGCGAACAGG
RNAcentral lists this ribosomal RNA (253 nucleotides) under uncultured bacterium. RNAcentral's name for it is "partial 16S ribosomal RNA". It matches the Rfam family "Bacterial small subunit ribosomal RNA", at positions 524 to 776 of the family's 1533-position model. The record is from RNAcentral.